AGCUAAUAGAUACCCCAGGGUAGUCCACGCCCUAAACGAUGUCUACUAGUUGUUGGUGGAGUAAAAUCCAUGAGUAAACGCAGCUAACGCGUGAAGUAGACCGCCUGGGGAGUACGGUCGCAAGAUUAAAACUCAAAGGAAUUGACGGGGGCCCGGCACAAGCGGUGGAUUAUGUGGAUUAAUUCGAUGCAACGCGAAAACCGUUACCUGGCCUUGACAUGCCACUAACGAAGCAGAGAUGCAUUAGGUGCCCGUAAGGGAAACGUGGACACAGGUGCUGCAUGGCUGUCGUCAGCUCGUGUCGUGAGAUGUUGGGUU
This 318-nucleotide ribosomal RNA is filed under the name uncultured bacterium. Its description in RNAcentral is "bacterial SSU rRNA". It matches the Rfam family "Bacterial small subunit ribosomal RNA", at positions 771 to 1081 of the family's 1533-position model. The record is from RNAcentral.